Biomphalaria glabrata is the source of this 1787-nucleotide long non-coding RNA. RefSeq lists it as uncharacterized. The record is from RefSeq and is a predicted model, not a curated record. The transcript has 2 exons. NCBI's taxonomy places the organism in Eukaryota, Metazoa, Mollusca, Gastropoda, Planorbidae.
CCAUGGCCACAUAUUUUUAUGAUUCUGUAUAACAAAUAUAUAUACAUAUAUAGGUCUGUGUUAUAUGUCUGAGUGACUUCCCCUGUGCUCCAAACCAAUGAUGGCGAAUGUAAACAUUGAAUUUACAUUACGAAAUGGUUCCAAGCAUAACAUUUCCCAGCCUGUUGAUAAUCAACAAUGCAGAUUGAAUUUAAAUAGUUUGAAAAAUUCCAUUAUACGUGUUCACGAGGAAAGCAACAAUUUUAUGACUAGUAUUGUAAACGACGAGAAAGCGCAAUGUAAAUUUACAGAAGAAUCUCAAGACAAUGAUGGAGUAAGUGAAGAGGACAGCUCAGAAGAAAGUGAUGGUACAGAGGAAGGAAUUGUUGAAGGAAAACCUCCACCUCUUAAGAAAAGUAAAUCAUAAAAAUUGACUCAUCUUUCUGUAUAGCAAUUAAAGUGAAUGACAAAAUUUAAUGGUUUUUACUUAUUGUUCUUACUGCUGUUUAAUGUAAGACAUUAAGUUUAAUCUGUCAUCGAUGCUCAUAACACGUUAAGUUUAUUCUGUCAUCAAUGCUCAUAACAUGUUAAGUUUAAUCUGUCAUCAAUGCUCAUAACAUGUUAAGUUUUAUCUGUCAUCAAUGCUCAUAACAUGUUAAGUUUAUUCUGUCAUCAAUACAUGUUAUGUUUAAUCUGUCAUCAAUGCUCAUAACAUUUUAAGUUUAAUCUGUCAUCAAUGCUCAUCAUCAAAGUCUAUGCACUGAUAAAGAAAUAAAAUGAACAAACAGAAGGAUUACAUAGUUUAUUUAUUCAUUGUUGUUAUCAUCAUGGUGCAUAGUGAGAACACGUUUCUAAUACAAAUAGUAGUAAUAAUUAUUGAAGUCUUAGUCUGGGAACAUCAUCAGAUGGAAUUAUACAAUGUUUAAACUUUUCUGUUUAAAUAUCUUGAUUAUGCAAAACAUUUCAACAAUUUUGUUAAAAUUUAUUUUGUAUUUAGGUUUCAAUGACAAUCAUAUUACUUAUUAUGGACUGAAUGAUCUAUUAUGAAUAAUAUGCACAAUAUAUAAAAUCACAGCACUUAUGAUUUUUAUGGCACAUUAGAAAUAAAUACAAAUUCAAUAACCUAAAACAUUCAUAAUUAUAAGGGAAUAAAACAAAAGUUACUUUUGAUAAUAAAAUUGCUUUCAUUUGAAAGAUGUUUGCAUGUACCUCAAAAUUUGAUUGUAAAUCAAACUGCUUGUACAAGUAAUGUAGAUGAAUGAUACAAUUAGUACCCCUGCUAUUAUAACAAUAAAAAAUGUGUCUGCUACAUGGCCAGUAGAAUAGAAAGUUAUGGGUUAUUACAUCAUAAAACAUGUACAUAUUUACUGAAGUAUUUGAGUACAGUGUUAUAACAGUCAAACAAGAAUACUUUAUAUACACUGUCUACAUGUAGUCAAAGCACUGGCUCAUAUCACAAAGUUGAUUAUUUCAGACAGGUCAUAUCUACAGAUGGAUUUCCAAUCAUAAGCUUUCGUUCUCAACUAGGAUGAACUGAGACUCUUUACUAGUUUUUUUAACAACACGAAACUGUAUAAAUAACUUUUAAAGGUUUGUUUUUUUUGGUAUAAAUUCCAGUACAUAUUUUAUCAAAAGAUUUGAAGAAAUGACUGAAUAAGUUUUUAACUUUCACCGGGCUGCUCAGUUUUUUAAAUGAUUAGAAUGGAAUGUAACAAGGACAGCAUCACACUGAUCUCAGCCAUACAUUGCAUUAAGUAGAUUCACAUAAAAUGUUCAGAGAAUCUAUAAGGUUCUUGAAAUAAUUUUUU